Molecule: long non-coding RNA, 582 nt
Filed under: Musa acuminata (dwarf banana)
Lineage: Eukaryota; Viridiplantae; Streptophyta; Magnoliopsida; Zingiberales; Musaceae
Description: long non-coding RNA (MACU_LNC005618)
Source: RNAcentral
UGGCGUAGGGCCGGGAGUCAGAGAGCACAAGCGAGAUGAACCGGAAGGUGAUCUCCAGGGCCUGCAGGGACGGCUUGAUGACGGACUCGUUGCUCCACUGUGAGAAGUUCUCGGAGCUCCAGAGCUUGGCGAGCUCGGGUAAGCGGAGGUAGUGCUCAUAAGCGGCAGUGGCGGAGGCAUCGUUGAUGAGCGGAGGUGCGGGGAUCGUCGCCGGGUGGGACUUCGAAUCAGAUGCCGGGGAUGACCUCGAGGAGAUCUCGGACGCUGCCAUCUUCGCUGCUGCAGUCGAUUCUUUCCUUUCGAGGAGGUAAGAAACAGAGAUAUAUAUAGACAGAAGGAUGUUUCUCCGUUAGAUAUGGAAGGAUGGUGGUGGGGCCAUGGAAGACGCGUGGGAUAAGUGUUAGACCGAGUCGAUGACGGCGGAUGGAAGCUUAUCCAAACAAGGAUGUGCUGUGCCCCUUAACGUCCAUUCCACCCGCUGAUGUACCAGUCCUGUGAUUGGAGGCGGUUGGCAUGGCCUAAAGCGAACAAAUAUCUGCCUCCAAUCACAAAGCUGGGAUCUGCGUGGGUGUAACGUGCCAG